RNAcentral lists this small nuclear RNA (141 nucleotides) under Microcebus murinus (gray mouse lemur). Its description in RNAcentral is "U4 spliceosomal RNA (ENSMICG00000046636.1)". It matches the Rfam family "U4 spliceosomal RNA". Rfam says of the family: U4 small nuclear RNA (U4 snRNA) is a component of the major U2-dependent spliceosome. The record is from Rfam by way of RNAcentral. Lineage: Eukaryota; Metazoa; Chordata; Mammalia; Primates; Cheirogaleidae.
AGCUUUGCGCAGUGGCAGUGUCUUAGCCAAUGGGGUGUAUCUGAGGCGCGAUUACCGCUCGUUGAAAACUUUUCCCAAUCCUGUGCCUUGAUGACUUGCAAUACAGUCGGCAGUGGCAUUUCUUGACGGUCUCUAUGGGGA